UUUUACCAACCAUUUAACUCUCUCUAAGGACCCCGUUCAGAGACACGGGCACGUUGAUGGGAGCUGUACAAAGGUCAGUGAUUUGGAGGCUCUUUUCGACAAUUUGCCAGGAUUUUGGCAUUUGUAAGCAUCCAUAGGACAGCUCUCUAGCAAGCUGACCUUGACAGCGAAUGGGAUAAAUAAACCUUCAAUUUACCCCCUCCAGCUCUCCGCGAGCUGGGCCAGUCCCCACGGAGCCUUCACCUGUCCAUAUCGUUCAACUGCCUGCAACUUCCAACUGACGAACAUCCACAGCUCCGCGGCCCAGUGACAAACACCAUCUAACAGAUAAGCCUUCUGAAAAGUCAAAGCCAAUACUGCUUCCAUUGAAAAUUUAAUGCCAGCUCCAUCUUUGCCCAUCAUUCUUCCGACUGUUCCAUGUUUCCCAAGAGGCCCUUGAAGCUAAAGCACUGCUCUAUAACAGGUUAAACGAUGGGAUUAAACAGUGAAGAGUGCCAGAGCGGAGGAAGAACUACAAAGAAACUGCAAUGAUGCUUCUUCCAAUGUGUUGUCCAGGAUGUCCAGUGAAUGUCCUCCACCUCUGAGCCAUAUGGCCAAAGUUACGUGGCUGAGUAGGGCUCAUGGACGUGUUUCAUCUGACAGAGCCUCUCAAGCUUCCAGCUCCAGUUGCACUGGACACCCUCACAGCCCUUCUGCAGAGCUGGGAAUGGCCAAAUCCUGCAGGCCCACUCAUGUCCCUGCAAGAAUCCUGAUGUUGGGAGAGAAAGCAUGCAUGUUCCCUCCUUUGCUGCUCCCCAAACGAAAGGCCACCUGCAGCCUUAUAUUUGCAAGAAACUCAUGCUGAGCAUCUGAGCCUAGGAAGACACAGAGUCCUGUCCUCCAACAGCCAGCUCUCAGGCCUUCUCGAACCUCUCCCUUCCCUGCCAGAUGUGACCUUGUACUCUGGAUGCCUGUGGUUUGGCUUUCUCCUCCUCACAAACAUGGAUGCUGUCCUUCUAGCAGAGGGAUUGAUGUGUUUAUGCAUGUAUCAUACCUUCCCCUCUGAGGAUGGGGGCAUGCCUUGCCCAAAGCACCCAGCCAGGGCUGAGCACAGGGACUCAACUAGGAGGAUUUUUGCUGACUGAUAAGUCCCCACUGGACAGGUCUGAGGGUUCUCCCCAAACCAUGCACUCUGGCAGUGGGCUAGUCUGACCACCUCCCCCGCCGUGUGUGUGAGACCCGCUGGUGGGCACUGUACACAGCAUGGACGUGGAAGACAAGCCUGGAAGUGAUGACUCUGCUGGAGUGAGCAGCACCACAACACAGAGCAGAUCGCUGGAGGGAAAGAUCACCUGGGGCGGCACUCCAGGGUGGAGUCAGGAGGACAUGGAGUUUUGGAGGCACACAGACAGCCCCGGAAGGCAAAAGUGUUCAUCAAGCAACCUCUGACUCAAGGAUAUCCCUGGACCACACCCCUGGGAGUGAGUGCACCAGGGAGUCACAUUAAUCCCAUAAACCCUGUUGUUGUCCUGUGACUGGCACCAUUCAUGCAUGGCAGUUUUAUACAUUAAAAAUGUCUAUGUUUUGGAGCCAAGUGAA
RNAcentral lists this long non-coding RNA (1578 nucleotides) under Homo sapiens (human). Its description in RNAcentral is "HSALNT0397380". Lineage: Eukaryota; Metazoa; Chordata; Mammalia; Primates; Hominidae. The record is from RNAcentral.